This 254-nucleotide ribosomal RNA is filed under the name uncultured bacterium. Its description in RNAcentral is "partial 16S ribosomal RNA". It matches the Rfam family "Bacterial small subunit ribosomal RNA", at positions 524 to 776 of the family's 1533-position model. The record is from RNAcentral.
CACGUAGGGUGCGAGCGUUGUCCGGAAUUAUUGGGCGUAAAGAGCUCGUAGGCGGCGUGUCGCGUCGGCCGUGAAAACCUGUGGCUUAACUAUGGGCUUGCGGUCGAUACGGGCAUCACUGGAGUUCGGCAGGGGAGACUGGAAUUCCUGGUGUAGCGGUGAAAUGCGCAGAUAUCAGGAGGAACACCGGUGGCGAAGGCGGGUCUCUGGGCCGAUACUGACGCUGAGGAGCGAAAGCGUGGGGAGCGAACAGG